This 449-nucleotide ribosomal RNA is filed under the name uncultured soil bacterium. Its description in RNAcentral is "bacterial SSU rRNA". It matches the Rfam family "Bacterial small subunit ribosomal RNA", at positions 26 to 464 of the family's 1533-position model. The record is from RNAcentral.
AGAUUGAACGCUGGCGGCAGGCCUAACACAUGCAAGUCGAGCGGCAGCACGGGUACUUGUACCUGGUGGCGAGCGGCGGACGGGUGAGUAAUGCCUAGGAAUCUGCCUGAUAGUGGGGGAUAACGUUCGGAAACGGACGCUAAUACCGCAUACGUCCUACGGGAGAAAGUGGGGGAUCUUCGGACCUCACGCUAUCAGAUGAGCCUAGGUCGAUUAGCUAGUUGGUAGGUAAAGCCUACAAGGCUACGAUCCGUAACUGGUCUGAGAGGAUGAUCAGUCACACUGGAACUGAGACACGGUCCAGACCUCCGUAACGGGAGCAGCGAGGUAGGGAAUAGUAGGACAAGUGGGACGAAAGUCCUAGAUCCGAGCCAGUCGCCGUCGUGUGUAGAAGUAGGUCUACGGUAUAGUAAAGCGUAAUUUAGGUGGAAGGUAGGCUAAGUUACUAA